RNAcentral lists this ribosomal RNA (330 nucleotides) under uncultured bacterium. RNAcentral describes it as "bacterial SSU rRNA". It matches the Rfam family "Bacterial small subunit ribosomal RNA", at positions 30 to 366 of the family's 1533-position model. The record is from RNAcentral.
AUUGAACGCUGGCGGCAUGCCUUACACAUGCAAGUCGAACGGCAGCGCGGGGCAACCUGGCGGCGAGUGGCGAACGGGUGAGUAAUAUAUCGGAACGUGCCCUGGAGUGGGGAUAACGUAGCGAAAGUUACGCUAAUACCGCAUACGAUCCAAGGAUGAAAGCAGGGGACCUUCGGGCCUUGUGCUCCUGGAGCGGCCGAUAUCUGAUUAGCUAGUUGGUGGGUAAAGCCUACCAAGGCGACGAUCAGUAGCUGGUCUGAGAGGACGACCAGCCACACUGGAACUGAGACACGGUCCAGACUCCUACGGGAGGCAGCAGUGGGAAUUUGG